AACUACAAUUUAUUUUUUUACCCUUUAUAAUUUAACAUGGCCACGCUCUAAUUAGUUUAGUGAAAAUAAAAUUUAUUUUUAGUACUGCAAAGGAAAUUUUAAAUUAAAUAAUUUAAUUCUUCUACCUCUUGUGUCAGGGAAAUUUAAUUUACAGUCAAUUUAGAUAAUUCUCGAAAUAAAUAGAGCUAGUUUUAUACAAACCUAUUCGUAAAAAAGAAUUUAUUAAUCUAAGACUAGAAAAGAAAUCUUAGCCGAUAUUUUAUAUCUAGUUAAUUUAAAAACAAAAAAAUUGUUUACUCUUGUAAAUUCACACGGGAAUAAUAAAUAUGUAAAGGUCAACUUUCUUUUGUGAAAUAGAACUAAUUUUAAUUUUUAUACGUUAAGGUUAAUAGCCUACUUUUAAAUAUAAUUUAAUCUCUUAAACUUAUAAAUUAAAUACCAAUAAUUAUAAACCAUUAUAAUAAAUUUAUCAGUAAUACUUAUAUAAACUUUUAAGCCUAAUCUAAAUUUUAAUUUAUUAUAAAAAGAAGAAAGAAAUUAACUCGGCAAACAGUCUCCCGCCUGUUUAUCAAAAACAUCGCCUAGGGUAUUUUCUCUUAGGUCGCGCCUGCCCAAUGAGUGUUUAAAUGGCCGCAGUAUACUGACUGUGCUAAGGUAGCAUAAUAAUUUGUCUUUUAAUUGAAGGCUAGUAUGAAAGGAAUGACGAGGAGAGAUUUCUGUCUCUCUUUUUUAAUAAAAAUUAAAUUGACAUAAAAGUUAAAAGGCUUUUAGAGAUUAGAAGGACGAACAAGACCCUAUAAAGCUUUACCUUAUGAAUAAAAAUGAAUAUUUAGAUUAAGUCUUAUUUUUAGUUGGUUUUACUGGGGCGGUAAAAUUUUAAAUUUAACAACAUUAAUAAAAACACCUUAAAUGAAAUUUAUAAUCCUAUGUAAAGAAUUAAGAACAAGUUACUUUAGGGAUAACAGUGUAAUAUUUUUAAAGAGCCCUAAUCGCCAAAAAUGAUUACCACCUCGAUGUUGAAUUGAGAUUCCUCCAUAGACGAAGUUUCUAUGAAAGAAAGUCUGUUCGACUUUUAAAUUUUCACAUGAUUUGAGUUCAGACCGGCGUAAGCCAGGUUAGUUUUCUAUCUUCUAAAAAAAAAUCACUCUAAUUGUACGAAAGGACCUUAGAGUAGGGGAUUCCCCUAAGUCUUAAAUAAUAUUUAUUCUAACAAGA
This 1215-nucleotide ribosomal RNA is filed under the name Glyptonotus cf. antarcticus FK-2009. RNAcentral's name for it is "large subunit ribosomal RNA". The stretch from base 776 to 1133 matches the Rfam family "Archaeal large subunit ribosomal RNA", at positions 2153 to 2718 of the family's 2987-position model. Lineage: Eukaryota; Metazoa; Arthropoda; Malacostraca; Isopoda; Chaetiliidae. The record is from RNAcentral.